AGAAAGGACCCAGUGGUCCUUGAUGAAGAGAAAACUCAGCACUGAGGCCAAAACUCUGCCUGAAUUGUAGCCCUGAAACUAAUAAAGGUAAAACCACCAUAGGCUUUGACCUUGGUUUUUAGCCCAGAUCUGCCACUCAAGUACAUGGAAUGGAACAAAUUGCAUCCACAAACUCAGAGGAGGGGAUCCCUUGGCCUGAACUGACAGAUGGAAGUUAAUAGCAGUGGAGGCUGACAAAACAAUGAAUCUUCUUUGCACUCUGGUAAGUGCACAUACCUGUGAAAUGCAGUGCCAAGGGACU
This 301-nucleotide long non-coding RNA is filed under the name Junco hyemalis (dark-eyed junco). RNAcentral's name for it is "lncRNA (ENSJHYG00000012252.1)". Lineage: Eukaryota; Metazoa; Chordata; Aves; Passeriformes; Passerellidae. The record is from RNAcentral.